This is a long non-coding RNA of Asparagus officinalis (garden asparagus), 545 nucleotides long. RefSeq lists it as uncharacterized. The transcript is spliced from 2 exons. The record is from RefSeq and is a predicted model, not a curated record. NCBI's taxonomy places the organism in Eukaryota, Viridiplantae, Streptophyta, Magnoliopsida, Asparagales, Asparagaceae.
CAAAGCUACAGUGCUGCGCCAAAUCUGGCGCAGUACUGUAGCUCUCCCCCAAAAUGGCGCUGGGGAAAGCGUUCGGUUGGAGGAGGAACAGGAACAUUUUUUGCGUCAUUUUGAGGGAUAGCGUUCGGUUGGAGAAGCUCUUAAAUACCAAAACAACUCAGUGCCGAUUCGGACUAAUUUCUGUGUCCGACAAUUGAACUGCUCUCCCGUCUUCGUCUUGCUCGAUUCCGACGUCAGCACCACCAGUUGCGACGGCGCCACCUCCAGCUCCAGCCGCUCUAGUCCUUUCUUCCGACGAUCGAUGCUCUACUUACGUGAUCAAUGUAAGAAGCAAGCGUACACUCGAUGAAAACCUCAUUGACAUGGAGAUAAGAUUUAGACUGAUGUGUCAUGUGAUAUCAAUCGUGGGUGUUGAAGUAGGCGAUACAAUAUCAUUUAUUUUACUCUCUUAUUGUUGGGCUUGAAUCGUAGAAUUAUAUCCUUACAAGAUUCAGCUUAGGUUUUAUUCUCGAAUAACGCUUUCUAUAAUAUCAAUCUCAAUAGUA